RNAcentral lists this ribosomal RNA (497 nucleotides) under uncultured bacterium. RNAcentral describes it as "partial 16S ribosomal RNA". It matches the Rfam family "Bacterial small subunit ribosomal RNA", at positions 28 to 507 of the family's 1533-position model. The record is from RNAcentral.
GAUGAACGCUAGCGGCGUGCCUAAUACAUGCAAGUCGAGCGAACAGACGAGGCGCUUGCUCCUCUGACGUUAGCGACGGGCGAGCGAGUAACACGUGGAUAAACUACCUAUAAGACUGAGAUAACUACGGGAAACCGAAGCUAAUACCGGAUAAUAUAUUUACUCGCAUGGCUCAUUAGUGAAAGUAAGUUUUCCUGUCCUUUAUAUAUGGAUCCGCGCCGCAUUAGCUAGGUGGUAAGGUAACGCCUUACCACGGCGACGAUGCGUAGCCGACCUGAGAGGGUGAUCGGCCACACUGGAACUGAGACACGGUCCAGACUCCUACGGGAGGCAGCAGUAGAGUAUCUUCCGCAAGUGGCGAGAGCCUAACGGGACAACGCCACGUGAGUGAUGAAGGUCUUCGGAUCUUAAAACUCUGUUAUUAGGGAAGAACAAGUGUGUAAGUAACUAUGCCCGUCUUGACGGUACCUAAUCAGAAAGCCACGGCUAACUACGUG